CCUAUUUUGAUGACGAUGUAUUGCAAGUUCGGCUCGGGCUACAGCAGAAACGAAAGCGGCUGAAGAUUGACGCCGUGCCUACCAUAUUCGAUCGGGAACAAGGGCAGGAACCAGUAACGGAGGCGGCAGCAAGCACGUCAACGGGAUCAACUGGAUUUGAUGUGGAGGUCAUGGCUGAAGCAAGUGCUGGGGACCCACUUCCCACUUCA
Long non-coding RNA from Ornithodoros turicata, 209 nucleotides. RefSeq lists it as uncharacterized. NCBI's taxonomy places the organism in Eukaryota, Metazoa, Arthropoda, Arachnida, Ixodida, Argasidae. The record is from RefSeq and is a predicted model, not a curated record. The transcript is spliced from 3 exons.